RNAcentral lists this ribosomal RNA (445 nucleotides) under uncultured bacterium. Its description in RNAcentral is "partial 16S ribosomal RNA". It matches the Rfam family "Bacterial small subunit ribosomal RNA", at positions 354 to 796 of the family's 1533-position model. The record is from RNAcentral.
GUGAGGAAUAUUGCGCAAUGGAGGCAACUCUGACGCAGCCAUGCCGCGUGCAGGAAGAAGGCGCUACGCGUUGUAAACUGCUUUUAACCGGGAAGAAACCCCAGGACGUGUCCUGGGUUGACGGUACCGGAGGAAUAAGCACCGGCUAACUUCGUGCCAGCAGCCGCGGUAAUACGAAGGGUGCAAGCGUUAUCCGGAUUCAUUGGGUUUAAAGGGUGCGUAGGCGGAGCGUUACGUCAGUGGUGAAAUCCUGCAGCUUAACUGUAGACUUGCCAGUGAUACUGGCGCUCUUGAGUGCGCUUGAAGUGGGCGGAAUGUGCCGUGUAGCGGUGAAAUGCUUAGAUAUGGCACAGAACACCAAUUGCGAAGGCAGCUCACUAAGGCGAUACUGACGCUGAGGCACGAAAGCGUGGGGAUCGAACAGGAUUAGAAACCCUAGUAGUCC